UGAGCAAUCUGCCCUUCUCAUCGGAAUAGGCGUUGGAAACGACGUCUAAUGCCGAAUACGACCUCCUUUCGCAUGAUCGGAGGUGGAAAGCUCCGGCGGAGAAGGAUGAGCUCGCGGCCUAUCAGCUAGUUGGUGUGGGUAAUGGCCCACCAAGGCGACGACGGGUAGCCGGCCUGAGAGGGUGACCGGCCACACUGGGACUGAGACACGGCCCAGACUCCGUACGGGAGCAG
RNAcentral lists this ribosomal RNA (233 nucleotides) under uncultured bacterium. RNAcentral describes it as "partial 16S ribosomal RNA". It matches the Rfam family "Bacterial small subunit ribosomal RNA", at positions 118 to 347 of the family's 1533-position model. The record is from RNAcentral.